Molecule: ribosomal RNA, 497 nt
Filed under: uncultured bacterium
Lineage: Bacteria
Description: partial 16S ribosomal RNA
Rfam family: Bacterial small subunit ribosomal RNA
Source: RNAcentral
GAUGAACGCUGGCGGCGUGCCUAAUACAUGCAAGUAGAGCGAACGGACGGGAGGCUUGCCUUUCUGAUGUUUUCGGCGGGGGGGUGAGUAACACAGGUAUAACCCAUCUAUAAGGCUGGGAUAAAUUCGAGAAAAUGGAGAUAAUACCGGAAAAUAAUAUGAACCACAUGAUUCAAAAAUAAAAUGCAAUCUUGCUAUCACCUAAUGAUCGAUCGGCGCUUCAUUAGGUUGUUGGUAAGAUAACGGCUAACCAAGGCAACGAUGAAUAGACGCCCUGAGAGGGGGACGGGCCACAUGGGAACUGAGACACGCCCCAGACCCCUCCGGGGGGAGGCAGUAGGGAAUCUUCCGCAAUGGGCGAAAGCCUAACGGAGCAACGCCGCGGGAGUGAGGAAGUUUUUCGGACCUUAAAACUUUUUUAAUGGGGAGGACCAGAUGUGUAAGUAACUGUUCACAUCUUGACGGUACCUUAUCAGAAAGCCACGGCUAACUACGUG